CUGUGAGAAUGCCUUGAUGGAUGGAGCUGAGGAUGGCCAGACUCUUAAGCAGCUAUGCUGGACUACCAAGGAAGGAUAAGAAUCAUCAAAAAGGGUUGAGGGUUUUAUGACUGGAUGAUGGCAAGACCCAGAUGAUGUCAGUCAUUUUGGGCUGUGAUUAAGUGCCAUGAUGCUGCAAAAACAGAGAGUUGAAGACUUCACCAACACUCCAAGAAGUUCAAAGUAACUGUAAUAAAAGGAGACAAAUCCAUAAUGACAACACAACUACAGCAUGGAGUUGAUAUUUAUGCAAUAUAUAACUGCAAAUAUUUCUGC
Long non-coding RNA from Pogoniulus pusillus (Red-fronted tinkerbird), 315 nucleotides. RefSeq lists it as uncharacterized. The transcript is spliced from 3 exons. NCBI's taxonomy places the organism in Eukaryota, Metazoa, Chordata, Aves, Piciformes, Lybiidae. The record is from RefSeq and is a predicted model, not a curated record.